AUUGAACGCUGGCGGCAUGCUUUACACAUGCCAGUCGAACGGCAACGCGGAGAAGCUUGCUUCUCUGUCGGCGAGUGGCGAACGGGUGAGUAUAGCAUCGGAACGUGCCAAGUAGUGGGGGAUAACCAAACGAAAGUUUGGCUAAUACCGCGUAAGCUCCAAGGAGGAAAGUAGGGGACCUAAAUAAGGCCUUACGCUAUUUGAUCGGCCGAUGUCGGAUUAGCUAGUUGGUGGGGUAAUGGCUCACCAAGGCAAUGAUCCGUAGCGGGUCUGAGAGGACGAUCCGCCACACUGGGACUGAGACACGGCCCAGACUCCUACGGGAGGCAGCAGUGGGGAAUUUUGGACAAUGGGGGAAACCCUGAUCCAGCCAUGCCGCGUGUAUGAAGAAGGCCUUAGGGUUGUAAAGUACUUUUGUUAGGGAAGAAAAGCUAGUUUUUAAUAAAAAGUAGUGAUGACGGUACCUAAAGAAUAAGCACCGGCUAACUACGUG
RNAcentral lists this ribosomal RNA (493 nucleotides) under uncultured bacterium. RNAcentral's name for it is "partial 16S ribosomal RNA". It matches the Rfam family "Bacterial small subunit ribosomal RNA", at positions 30 to 507 of the family's 1533-position model. The record is from RNAcentral.